This 450-nucleotide ribosomal RNA is filed under the name uncultured bacterium. Its description in RNAcentral is "partial 16S ribosomal RNA". It matches the Rfam family "Bacterial small subunit ribosomal RNA", at positions 354 to 796 of the family's 1533-position model. The record is from RNAcentral.
GUGGGGAAUAUUGGACAAUGGGCGAAAGCCUGAUCCAGCCAUGCCGCGUGUGUGAAGAAGGUCUUCGGAUUGUAAAGCACUUUAAGUUGGGAGGAAGGGCAGUAAGUUAAUACCUUGCUGUUUUGACGUUACCAACAGAAUAAGCACCGGCUAACUUCGUGCCAGCAGCCGCGGUAAUACGAAGGGUGCAAGCGUUAAUCGGAAUUACUGGGCGUAAAGCGCGCGUAGGUGGUUCAGCAAGUUGGAGGUGAAAUCCCCGGGCUCAACCUGGGAACUGCCUCCAAAACUGCAUGACUAGAGUACGGUAGAGGGUAGUGGAAUUUCCUGUGUAGCGGUGAAAUGCGUAGAUAUAGGAAGGAACACCAGUGGCGAAGGCGACUACCUGGACUGAUACUGACACUGAGGUGCGAAAGCGUGGGGAGCAAACAGGAUUAGAUACCCGAGUAGUCC